Long non-coding RNA from Dermochelys coriacea (leatherback sea turtle), 510 nucleotides. RefSeq lists it as uncharacterized. The record is from RefSeq and is a predicted model, not a curated record. NCBI's taxonomy places the organism in Eukaryota, Metazoa, Chordata, Testudines, Dermochelyidae. The transcript has 2 exons.
GCCUCCUGCUUGCUCCAGAGCUGGGAGACUGCUGCUGGUCCCUGGGGAGCUGAGGACUGGCCGGAGCCGCAUGCUGAACUGACCGCAGAGGAGCUGCCAGCACUACUACAGACCUUCUACCCGGAUGAUCUGGACAACCCUCUACAGGACCAGAUUUUACUAUUUAAGUUCCAAAAGAUGACAGCAACUCUAAGCUCUUGCUGAUGACUUUGAGGUAACUAUGAAUGAUUUUGGCAGUAUCUACCAUCAACACUGGGUUGCCAUCAGGUCAGAAAACUGAAGGCAAUGACCUAAAAUCAUCAUUUAACUUUCAUCCUUUUGGAUAUGGACAUAUCACAGAAACUGAAUCAGAGACCAAUGUACUUUGAAUUAGGGGUAUUCUUAAUGGAUAUUUCCUGCUCUGUAUUAGCCCUGGUAGUAGACUACAUUUUAGUACCGUGUUAAAUAGUACAUUUUUAUUUUAAUACAUAAAUAUUUGUUUUUACUGUAUUAAACAGAUUUUACACUUUA